RNAcentral lists this ribosomal RNA (790 nucleotides) under uncultured Neocallimastigales. RNAcentral's name for it is "partial large subunit ribosomal RNA". It matches the Rfam family "Eukaryotic large subunit ribosomal RNA", at positions 24 to 649 of the family's 3401-position model. The record is from RNAcentral. Lineage: Eukaryota; Fungi; Neocallimastigomycota; Neocallimastigomycetes; Neocallimastigales.
UAUCUCUGUAGAGUCUGCAUAUCAAUAAGCGGAGGAAAAGAAACUAACAAGGAUUCCCUUAGUAACGGCGAGUGAAGCGGGAAGAGCUCAAAUUUGAAAUCUUCAAGGUUCUACCUUGACGAAUUGUAGUUUAAUAGAAGUGUUUUCGGUUAGUAGGAGUGGCAAAAGUUCUUUGGAAUAGGACAUCAUAGAGGGUGAGAAUCCCGUAUUUGGAUCAUUCCUUCCUAGCUUUGUGAUACACUUUCAACGAGUCGGAUUGUUUGGGAAUGCAGUCCAAAAUGGGUGGUAAAUUUCAUCUAAAGCUAAAUAUUGGCGAGAGACCGAUAGCGAACAAGUACCGUGAGGGAAAGAUGAAAAGAACUUUGAAAAGAGAGUUAAACAGUACGUGAAAUUGUCAAAAGGGAAGCGUUUGACACCAGUGUUGUUUUUCCGAAAAUCAAUUACAAAUGGAUUUAUGUUUGAGGUAGUUAUGACUUCAUCGGCUUGCUGCCUUCGUUUAUGGUACUUUUCUUGAUGCACUUUUCGGUUAACAAGUCAACAUCAAUUUCUUUUGUUGUAAAAGGGAUAAUGAGGAAGGUGGCUUUCGUUUCGGAUAAAGUGUUUAUAGCCUUUUAUCCUCUGCAGUCGGAGAGAUUGAGGUCUGCAGCGUAGAUCCUUCGGGGUUAGAUACGUUUGUGCUAAGUUAUAGCUUUGUCAUAGACAACAUUGUUGACUAUAGUUUAGUCUUGUAGCUUACUCGCAUGAUCGCUAUUUUACCUACGCUUAGGAUGUUGAGUAGCGACAUACGCAC